This 118-nucleotide ribosomal RNA is filed under the name Helianthus annuus (common sunflower). Lineage: Eukaryota; Viridiplantae; Streptophyta; Magnoliopsida; Asterales; Asteraceae. The record is from RNAcentral.
GGUUGCGAUCAUACCAGCACUAAUGCACCGGAUCCCAUCAGAACUCCGCAGUUAAGCGUGCUUAGGCGAGAGUAGGACUAGGAUGGGUGACCCCUCGGAAGUCCUCGUGUUGCAACCC